This 492-nucleotide ribosomal RNA is filed under the name uncultured bacterium. Its description in RNAcentral is "partial 16S ribosomal RNA". It matches the Rfam family "Bacterial small subunit ribosomal RNA", at positions 29 to 507 of the family's 1533-position model. The record is from RNAcentral.
AGUGGACGCUGGCGGUAGGCCUAGCACAUGCAAGUCGAACGGCAGCACAGUAAGAGCUUGCUCUUACGGGUGGCGAGUGGCGGACGGGUGAGGAAUACAUCGGAAUCUACUUUUUCGUGGGGGAUAACGUAGGGAAACUUACGCUAAUACCGCAUACGACCUACGGGUGAAAGCAGGGGAUCUUCGGACCUUGCGCGAUUGAAUGAGCCGAUGUCGGAUUAGCUAGUUGGCGGGGUAAAGGCCCACCAAGGCGACGAUCCGUAGCUGGUCUGAGAGGAUGAUCAGCCACACUGGAACUGAGACACGGUCCAGACUCCUACGGGAGGCAGCAGUGGGGAAUAUUGGACAAUGGGCGCAAGCCUGAUCCAGCCAUACCGCGUGGGUGAAGAAGGCCUUCGGGUUGUAAAGCCCUUUUGUUGGGAAAGAAAAGCAGCAGGUUAAUACCCCGCUGUUCUGACGGUACCCAAAGAAUAAGCACCGGCUAACUUCGUG